Molecule: ribosomal RNA, 401 nt
Filed under: uncultured bacterium
Lineage: Bacteria
Description: bacterial SSU rRNA
Rfam family: Bacterial small subunit ribosomal RNA
Source: RNAcentral
AUUGAACGCUGGCGGCAUGCCUUACACAUGCAAGUCGAACGGCAGCACGGGAGCAAUCCUGGUGGCGAGUGGCGAACGGGUGAGUAAUAUAUCGGAACGUGCCCAGUGAUGGGGGAUAGCCCGGCGAAAGCCGGAUUAAUACCGCAUACGACCUACGGGUGAAAGCAGGGGAUCGCAAGACCUUGCGUCAUUGGAGCGGCCGAUAUCAGAUUAGCUUGNGGUGGGGUAAAGCCUACCAAGGCGACGAUCUGUAGCUGGUCUGAGAGGACGACCAGCCACACUGGGACUGAGACACGGCCCAGACUCCUACGGGAGGCAGCAGUGGGGAAUAUUGGACAAUGGGCGCAAGCCUGAUCCAGCCAUGCCGCGUGAGUGACGAAGGUCUUCGGAUUGUAAAGCUC